This 322-nucleotide ribosomal RNA is filed under the name uncultured bacterium. RNAcentral's name for it is "bacterial SSU rRNA". It matches the Rfam family "Bacterial small subunit ribosomal RNA", at positions 30 to 353 of the family's 1533-position model. The record is from RNAcentral.
AUUGAACGCUGGCGGCAUGCCUUACACAUGCAAGUCGAACGGCAGCACGGGAGCAAUCCUGGUGGCGAGUGGCGAACGGGUGAGUAAUAUAUCGGAACGUGCCCAGUCGUGGGGAUAACGUAGCGAAAGCUACGCUAAUACCGCAUACGAUCUAUGGAUGAAAGCGGGGGAUCGCAAGACCUCGCGCGAUUGGAGCGGCCGAUAUCAGAUUAGGUAGUUGGUGAGGUAAAGGCUCACCAAGCCGACGAUCUGUAGCUGGUCUGAGAGGACGACCAGCCACACUGGGACUGAGACACGGCCCAGACUCCUACGGGAGGCAGCA